RNAcentral lists this ribosomal RNA (1372 nucleotides) under uncultured bacterium. Its description in RNAcentral is "bacterial SSU rRNA". It matches the Rfam family "Bacterial small subunit ribosomal RNA", at positions 28 to 1381 of the family's 1533-position model. The record is from RNAcentral.
GAUGAACGCUGGCGGCGUGCCUAAUACAUGCAAGUCGAGCGAACGGACGAGAAGCUUGCUUCUCUGAUGUUAGCGGCGGACGGGUGAGUAACACGUGGAUAACCUACCUAUAAGACUGGGAUAACUUCGGGAAACCGGAGCUAAUACCGGAUAAUAUUUUGAACCGCAUGGUUCAAAAGUGAAGGACGGUCUUGCUGUCACUUAUAGAUGGAUCCGCGCUGCAUUAGCUAGUUGGUAAGGUAACGGCUUACCAAGGCAACGAUGCAUAGCCGACCUGAGAGGGUGAUCGGCCACACUGGAACUGAGACACGGUCCAGACUCCUACGGGAGGCAGCAGUAGGGAAUCUUCCGCAAUGGGCGAAAGCCUGACGGAGCAACGCCGCGUGAGUGAUGAAGGUCUUCGGAUCGUAAAACUCUGUUAUUAGGGAAGAACAUAUGUGUAAGUAACUGUGCACAUCUUGACGGUACCUAAUCAGAAAGCCACGGCUAACUACGUGCCAGCAGCCGCGGUAAUACGUAGGUGGCAAGCGUUAUCCGGAAUUAUUGGGCGUAAAGCGCGCGUAGGCGGUUUUUUAAGUCUGAUGUGAAAGCCCACGGCUCAACCGUGGAGGGUCAUUGGAAACUGGAAAACUUGAGUGCAGAAGAGGAAAGUGGAAUUCCAUGUGUAGCGGUGAAAUGCGCAGAGAUAUGGAGGAACACCAGUGGCGAAGGCGACUUUCUGGUCUGUAACUGACGCUGAUGUGCGAAAGCGUGGGGAUCAAACAGGAUUAGAUACCCUGGUAGUCCACGCCGUAAACGAUGAGUGCUAAGUGUUAGGGGGUUUCCGCCCCUUAGUGCUGCAGCUAACGCAUUAAGCACUCCGCCUGGGGAGUACGACCGCAAGGUUGAAACUCAAAGGAAUUGACGGGGACCCGCACAAGCGGUGGAGCAUGUGGUUUAAUUCGAAGCAACGCGAAGAACCUUACCAAAUCUUGACAUCCUUUGACAACUCUAGAGAUAGAGCCUUCCCCUUCGGGGGACAAAGUGACAGGUGGUGCAUGGUUGUCGUCAGCUCGUGUCGUGAGGUGUUGGGUUAAGUCCCGCAACGAGCGCAACCCUUAAGCUUAGUUGCCAUCAUUAAGUUGGGCACUCUAAGUUGACUGCCGGUAACAAACCGGAGGAAGGUGGGGAUGACGUCAAAUCAUCAUGCCCCUUAUGAUUUGGGCUACACACGUGCUACAAUGGACAAUACAAAGGGCAGCGAAACCGCGAGGUCAAGCAAAUCCCAUAAAGUUGUUCUCAGUUCGGAUUGUAGUCUGCAACUCGACUACAUGAAGCUGGAAUCGCUAGUAAUCGUAGAUCAGCAUGCUACGGUGAAUACGUUCCCGGGUCU